UACGGAGGAUCCAAGCGUUAUCCGGAUUUAUUGGGUUUAAAGGGUGCGUAGGCGGCCUAUUAAGUCAGGGGUGAAAGACGGUAGCUUAACUAUCGCAGUGCCUUUGAUACUGAUAGGCUUGAAUGUACUUGAGGUAGGCGGAAUGUGACAAGUGGCGGUGAAAUGCAUAGAUAUGUCACAGAACGCCAAUUGCGAAGGCAGCUUACUAAAGUAUGAUUGACGCUGAGGCACGAAAGCGUGGGGAUCAAACAGG
This 253-nucleotide ribosomal RNA is filed under the name uncultured bacterium. RNAcentral describes it as "partial 16S ribosomal RNA". It matches the Rfam family "Bacterial small subunit ribosomal RNA", at positions 524 to 776 of the family's 1533-position model. The record is from RNAcentral.